Molecule: ribosomal RNA, 1139 nt
Filed under: Vibrio parahaemolyticus
Lineage: Bacteria; Pseudomonadati; Pseudomonadota; Gammaproteobacteria; Vibrionales; Vibrionaceae
Description: partial 23S ribosomal RNA
Rfam family: Bacterial large subunit ribosomal RNA
Source: RNAcentral
GUUGUAUGGUUAAGUGACUAAGCGUACACGGUGGAUGCCUUGGCAGUCAGAGGCGAUGAAAGACGUAGUAACUUGCGAUAAGCCCAGAUUAGGUAGUAACAACCAUUUGAGUCUGGGAUUUCUGAAUGGGGAAACCCACGUGCAUAAGCACGUAUCCUUACCUGAAUACAUAGGGUAAGGAGGCGAACCGGGGGAACUGAAACAUCUAAGUACCCCGAGGAAAAGAAAUCAACCGAGAUUCCGAAAGUAGCGGCGAGCGAAAUUGGACUAGCCCUUAAGCUUUACACGCGUUAGACGAACGGUCUGGAAAGUCCGACGAUACAGGGUGAUAGUCCCGUAGUUGACGACGUGUGUUCAGUGAAAUCGAGUAGGGCGGGACACGUGAUAUCCUGUCUGAAUAUGGGGGGACCAUCCUCCAAGGCUAAAUACUACUGACUGACCGAUAGUGAACCAGUACCGUGAGGGAAAGGCGAAAAGAACCCCUGUGAGGGGAGUGAAAUAGAACCUGAAACCGUGUACGUACAAGCAGUAGGAGCAGGCUUGUCCUGUGACUGCGUACCUUUUGUAUAAUGGGUCAGCGACUUAUAUUCAGUGGCAAGGUUAACCAUCUAGGGGAGCCGUAGGGAAACCGAGUCUUAACUGGGCGUUCAGUCUCUGGAUAUAGACCCGAAACCAGGUGAUCUAGCCAUGGGCAGGUUGAAGGUUGAGUAACAUCAACUGGAGGACCGAACCGACUAAUGUUGAAAAAUUAGCGGAUGACUUGUGGCUAGGGGUGAAAGGCCAAUCAAACCUGGAGAUAGCUGGUUCUCCCCGAAAGCUAUUUAGGUAGCGCCUCGGACGAAUACUACUGGGGGUAGAGCACUGUUAAGGCUAGGGGGUCAUCCCGACUUACCAACCCUUUGCAAACUCCGAAUACCAGUAAGUACUAUCCGGGAGACACACGGCGGGUGCUAACGUCCGUCGUGGAGAGGGAAACAACCCAGACCGCCAGCUAAGGUCCCAAAUUACUACUAAGUGGGAAACGAUGUGGGAAGGCUCAGACAGCCAGGAUGUUGGCUUAGAAGCAGCCAUCAUUUAAAGAAAGCGUAAUAGCUCACUGGUCGAGUCGGCCUGCGCGGAAGAUGUAACGGGGCUAAGUA